GACGAACGCUGGCGGCGUGCUUAACACAUGCAAGUCGAACGGAAAGGCCCUGCUUUUGUGGGGUGCUCGAGUGGCGAACGGGUGAGUAACACGUGAGUAACCUGCCCUUGACUUUGGGAUAACUUCAGGAAACUGGGGCUAAUACCGGAUAGGAGCUCCUGCUGCAUGGUGGGGGUUGGAAAGUUUCGGCGGUUGGGGAUGGACUCGCGGCUUAUCAGCUUGUUGGUGGGGUAGUGGCUUACCAAGGCUUUGACGGGUAGCCGGCCUGAGAGGGUGACCGGCCACAUUGGGACUGAGAUACGGCCCAGACUCCUACGGGAGGCAGCAGUGGGGAAUAUUGCACAAUGGGCGGAAGCCUGAUGCAGCAACGCCGCGUGCGGGAUGACGGCCUUCGGGAUGUAAACCGCUUUCGCCUGUGACGAAGCGUGAGUGACGGUAAUGGGUAAAGAAGCACCGGCUAACUACGUG
Molecule: ribosomal RNA, 468 nt
Filed under: uncultured bacterium
Lineage: Bacteria
Description: partial 16S ribosomal RNA
Rfam family: Bacterial small subunit ribosomal RNA
Source: RNAcentral